GACGAACGCUGGCGGCGUGCUUAACACAUGCAAGUCGAACGAGUGGCGAACGGGUGAGUAACACGUGAUUAACCUGCCCCUUCUUCUGGAUAACUGCUUGAAAGGGUAGCUAAUACGGGAUAGUGGGGGAUGGGCUCGCGGCCUAUCAGCUUGUUGGUGGGGUGAUGGCCUACCAAGGCGGUGACGAGUAGCCGGCCUGAGCGGGUGGACGGCCACACGGGGACUGGGACACGGCCCAGAGUCCUACGGGAGGCAGAAGGGGGGAAUAUUGCACAAUAGGCGCAAGCCUGAUGAAGCGACGCCGCGUGAGGGAGGGAGGCCUUCGGGUUGUAAACCUCUUUCGCCAGUGAAGAGGUAGCUGGAUAAGAAGCGCCGGCUAACUACGUGCCAGCAGCCGCGGUAAUUC
Molecule: ribosomal RNA, 406 nt
Filed under: uncultured bacterium
Lineage: Bacteria
Description: partial 16S ribosomal RNA
Rfam family: Bacterial small subunit ribosomal RNA
Source: RNAcentral